GUUCUUCACUGGAUGGGAAGACUGUAUCUAUCCUUUUACUUUGAAAAAAUUAGAGUGUUUAAAGCAGGCUGUACUUUAUGCCUUGAAUACUUCAGCAUGGGAUAAUAAAAUAGGACUCUUAUUCUAUUUUAUUGGUUUUUUAAAAUAAAAGGGUAAUAAGAGGGGAAACUCUCUUAUUAUCUAGAGUAAUGAUUAAUGGAAAUAGUUGGGGGUGUUUAUAUUCCAUUGUCAGAGGUGAAAUUCUUGGAUUUAUGGAAGAUAAACUUAUGCGAAAGCAUUCAUCAAGGAUACUUUCAUGCGAUCAAGAACGAAAGAUUGAGGAUCGAAGACUAUCAGAUACCGUCGUAGUUCAAUCUAUAAACUAUGCCGACCAGGGGGUUAGAAGAUGUGUACAAACCUAGUAGGGAAAACUUGCUAGUCUAACUCUUUUUGGAAACCUUAUGAAAAAAAUCAAAAGUUUUUUGGGGUUCUGGGGGGGAGUAUGGUCGCAAGGCUGAAACUUAAAAGAAUUGACGGAAGGGCACCCCCAGGAGUGGAGCCUGCGGCUUAAUUUGACUCAACACGGGGAAACUCACCAGGUCCGGACAUAGGAAGGAUUGACAGAUUGAAAGCUCUUUCUUGAUUCUAUGGGUGGUGGUGCAUGGCCGUUCUUAGUUGGUGGAAUGAUCUGUCUGGUUAAUUCCGAUAACGAACGAGACCACAGCCUAUUAAAUAGUAGAAAGAAUAAGUAUAUAUGGGUGAAGUGAUAGGUUCUGUGCAUUUG
RNAcentral lists this ribosomal RNA (763 nucleotides) under uncultured eukaryote. Its description in RNAcentral is "partial 18S ribosomal RNA". It matches the Rfam family "Eukaryotic small subunit ribosomal RNA", at positions 717 to 1406 of the family's 1831-position model. The record is from RNAcentral.